This 489-nucleotide ribosomal RNA is filed under the name uncultured bacterium. RNAcentral describes it as "partial 16S ribosomal RNA". It matches the Rfam family "Bacterial small subunit ribosomal RNA", at positions 28 to 507 of the family's 1533-position model. The record is from RNAcentral.
GAUGAACGCUAGCUACAGGCUUAACACAUGCAAGUCGCGGGGCAGCAUGGGGGUUGCUUGCAAUCCCCGAUGGCGACCGGCGCACGGGUGAGUAACGCGUAUCCAACCUGCCCUUCACCACGGGAUAACCCGGCGAAAGUCGGACUAAUACCGUAUGUUGUCCAUUGACGGCAUCCGAUUUGACGAAAGGCCUGGCGGUGGGGGGUGGGGAUGCGUCCGAUUAGCCAGACGGCGGGGUAACGGCCCACCGUGGCUACGAUCGGUAGGGGUUCUGAGAGGAAGGUCCCCCACACUGGAACUGAGACACGGUCCAGACUCCUACGGGAGGCAGCAGUGAGGAAUAUUGAUCAAUGGGCGUAAGCCUGAACCAGCCAAGUAGCGUGCAGGAUGACGGCCCUAUGGGUUGUAAACUGCUUUUAUGCGGGGAUAAAGUGGCCCACGUGUGGGCUUUUGCAGGUACCGCAUGAAUAAGGACCGGCUAAUUCCGUG